CUAACACAUGCAAGUCGAACGAAGCGGUUUCGAUGAAGCCUUCGGGUGGAAUUGAAAUUGACUGAGUGGCGGACGGGUGAGUAACGCGUGGGUAAUCUGCCUCACACAGGGGGAUAACAGUUAGAAAUGACUNNNNNNNNNCAUAAGCGCACAGGACGGCAUCGUCCAGUGUGAAAAACUCCGGUGGUGUGAGAUGAGCCCGCGUCUGAUUAGGUAGUUGGUGAGGUAAGGGCUCACCAAGCCGACGAUCAGNNNNCGGCCUGAGAGGGUGGACGGCCACAUUGGGACUGAGACACGGACCAAACUCCUACGGGAGGCAGCAGUGGGGAAUAUUGCACAAUGGGGGAAACCCUGAUGC
RNAcentral lists this ribosomal RNA (358 nucleotides) under uncultured bacterium. Its description in RNAcentral is "partial 16S ribosomal RNA". It matches the Rfam family "Bacterial small subunit ribosomal RNA", at positions 48 to 389 of the family's 1533-position model. The record is from RNAcentral.